Molecule: ribosomal RNA, 612 nt
Filed under: Pseudo-nitzschia australis
Lineage: Eukaryota; Bacillariophyta; Bacillariophyceae; Bacillariales; Bacillariaceae
Description: partial Bacterial large subunit ribosomal RNA
Rfam family: Bacterial large subunit ribosomal RNA
Source: RNAcentral
AGUGGACUCUGAUAUUACUUGUGUAGGAUAGCUGGGAGGCUUUGAAGCGUGGACGCUAGUCUGCGUGGAGCCAAUCUUGAAAUACCAGCCUGGUAAUAUUGGGGUUCUAACUCAGGUCCCUCAUCGGGAUCGAGGACACUGUGUGGUGGGUAGUUUGACUGGGGCGGUCUCCUCCCAAAGAGUAACGGAGGAGCACGAAGGUUUGCUAAGUACGGUCGGACAUCGUACGGUUAGUGUAAUGGUAGAAGCAAGCUUAACUGCGAGACGGACAUGUCGAGCAGGUACGAAAGUAGGUCAUAGUGAUCCGGUGGUUCUGUAUGGAAGGGCCAUCGCUCAACGGAUAAAAGGUACUCCGGGGAUAACAGGCUGAUACCGCCCAAGAGUUCAUAUCGACGGCGGUGUUUGGCACCUCGAUGUCGGCUCAUCACAUCCUGGGGCUGAAGCCGGUCCCAAGGGUAUGGCUGUUCGCCAUUUAAAGUGGUACGCGAGCUGGGUUUAGAACGUCGUGAGACAGUUCGGUCCCUAUCUGCCGUGGGUGUAGGAUACUUGAGAGGAGUUGCCCCUAGUACGAGAGGACCGGGGUGAACGAACCACUGGUGGACCUGUUGUGGC